Molecule: non-coding RNA, 286 nt
Organism: Pelobates cultripes (western spadefoot toad)
Lineage: Eukaryota; Metazoa; Chordata; Amphibia; Anura; Pelobatidae
Source: the annotation of a GenBank genome assembly
UAUCAAGCACGGCGUAUAACUAGGGAACUGGGUAGAUUGGUAGCAAACCACUUUACAAGUUGGUCUCUGUACUGAGUCUUAGAGGGUAGAGGGAUCGGCAUAGUUGAAUCUGCCCAAUAUAGAUCUGUGGCCUGCAAGUGAUGCUCCAUGGCAGCAUUAAUAUGCAUGACUUGCCUGAUGAGUGAUAAACGUUAGUAAAUGUGGUAGUAUCUGAAUGGGCACCAUGCAGGGAUUUCAGUGGAUUAGAGCUAAUCCCUAUGGGGUCUUGUCUAGAGAAGAGUUUGGG